This 321-nucleotide ribosomal RNA is filed under the name uncultured bacterium. Its description in RNAcentral is "bacterial SSU rRNA". It matches the Rfam family "Bacterial small subunit ribosomal RNA", at positions 194 to 507 of the family's 1533-position model. The record is from RNAcentral.
GGGGGACCGUUCGGGCCUCUCGCGUCAGGAUAUGACCCCAGGUGAGAUUAGCUAGUUGGUGAGGUAAUGGCUCACCAAGGCGACGAUCUCUAGCUGGUCUGAGAGGAUGAUCAGCCACACUGGGACUGAGACACGGCCCAGACUCCUACGGGAGGCAGCAGUGGGGAAUAUUGCACAAUGGGCGCAAGCCUGAUGCAGCCAUGCCGCGUGCGUGAAGAAGGCUUUCGGGUUGUAAAGCACUUUCAGUGGGGAGGAAGGCCUCGUAGUUAAUAGCUGCGAGGAUUGACGUUACCCACAGAAGAAGCACCGGCUAACUCCGUG